RNAcentral lists this ribosomal RNA (252 nucleotides) under uncultured bacterium. Its description in RNAcentral is "partial 16S ribosomal RNA". It matches the Rfam family "Bacterial small subunit ribosomal RNA", at positions 524 to 775 of the family's 1533-position model. The record is from RNAcentral.
UACGUAGGGGGCAAGCGUUGUCCGGAUUUACUGGGCGUAAAGAGCGCGCAGGCGGUCGAAUAAGUCGAAUGUGAAAGCCCCCGGCUCAACUGGGGAGGGUCAUUCGAUACUGAUCGACUCGAAGGCAGGAGAGGGUAGUGGAAUUCCCGGUGUAGUGGUGAAAUGCGUAGAUAUCGGGAGGAACACCAGUGGCGAAGGCGACUACCUGGCCUGUUCUUGACGCUGAGGCGCGAAAGCUAGGGGAGCAACGGG